This 70-nucleotide transfer RNA is filed under the name Lovenula raynerae. RNAcentral describes it as "tRNA-Glu". The record is from RNAcentral. Lineage: Eukaryota; Metazoa; Arthropoda; Copepoda; Calanoida; Diaptomidae.
UAUUUUUGUAGUGUAUUGCUAACAUAGGAUAUUUUCGUUAUCCAGAAAAAAUUUUUAUUUUCAAAAUUAU